Molecule: ribosomal RNA, 515 nt
Filed under: uncultured bacterium
Lineage: Bacteria
Description: partial 16S ribosomal RNA
Rfam family: Bacterial small subunit ribosomal RNA
Source: RNAcentral
GAUGAACGCUGGCGGCGUGCCUAAUACAUGCAAGUCGAGCGAAUGGAUUAAGAGCUUGCUCUUAUGAAGUUAGCGGCGGACGGGUGAGUAACACGUGGGUAACCUGCCCAUAAGACUGGGAUAACUCCGGGAAACCGGGGCUAAUACCGGAUAACAUUUUGAACCGCAUGGUUCGAAAUUGAAAGGCGGCUUCGGCUGUCACUUAUGGAUGGAGCCGCGUCGCAUUAGCUAGUGGGUGAGGUAACGGCUCACCAAGGCAACGAGGCGUAGCCGACCUGAGAGGGUGAUCGGCCACACUGGGACUGAGACACGGCCCAGACUCCUACGGGAGGCAGCAGUAGGGAAUCUUCCGCAAUGGACGAAAGUCUGACGGAGCAACGCCGCGUGAGUGAUGAAGGCUUUCGGGUCGUAAAACUCUGUUGUUAGGGAAGAACAAAUGCUAGUUGAAUAAGCUGGCACCUUGACGGUACCUAACCAGAAAGCCACGGCUAACUACGUGCCAGCCGCCGCAGUAA